UUUGCUGUCAGUUUCAUGAAGAUCACAACAAUGGAGAUUGAGGAGGACAAGAGCUCCCCCUGUCUGGGUGCUGGGUGCCUCUGGUGUGGACAAGAACAAGAACAGCUCCUCUGAACAGGAUUGCCUGGCACAGGAUGGGAAUGUACUACAAACUCACUAAAAUCAAUCAAAGCCCAACAUUAUGGACAAGCGAUGUCACCAACUGAGACACAUGACAAACAAGACCUUUCUCUCUACCAUAUGAGGACACAGCCGUCUGCAAACCAGGAAGAGAGCUGUCACCAGUUACCAAAUCAGCCAGCACCUUUAUCUUGGACUUCCCAGCCUCCAGAACCAUGAGAAAUGAACAUCUGUUGCCCCAGUUGUCCAGUCUAUGGUGUUCUGUUAGAGCGGCCUGGACUGACAGUGGGCAAAUCAUUUCACCUCUCUGAGCAUCAGCUUCGUCUUCUGAAAAAUGUGGAUGGUAUUAUCAUUUGUCCCCUUCCUUUUUUCCUUCCUCCCUCCCUUCCUUCCAUAGAUAUCAGGAGUAUAGAGUAAAAAAAAGGCAUGUACAAAAGAUCCUGAGAUGUCCGAAGUCUGAAGCCCUAAAGAAAUAUAACUUUAAUAAUGUCAUGUGGAACCAGCUAACCCAGUGCCUCUACCAUCACCAUGGUUACCACAAGGAUGCUACCCUCUUGAGAGGAUGACAAACUGCCCCAGGCAACAGAAACUCAUAUACAGGACAGUGCCCUUAGCACUGCAGAAAGACUGGACUUUGGUGUUAAUAAUGCAUGUCAAUAAUCCUAUCCUAAUUACCAAUUAAUAGUCAUAAUAAGUCAACAAGCAUGAAUAAUAAGUAAAUCAAAAGU
This is a long non-coding RNA of Dama dama (fallow deer), 848 nucleotides long. RefSeq lists it as uncharacterized. Lineage: Eukaryota; Metazoa; Chordata; Mammalia; Artiodactyla; Cervidae. The transcript is spliced from 3 exons. The record is from RefSeq and is a predicted model, not a curated record.